RNAcentral lists this ribosomal RNA (254 nucleotides) under uncultured bacterium. Its description in RNAcentral is "partial 16S ribosomal RNA". It matches the Rfam family "Bacterial small subunit ribosomal RNA", at positions 524 to 776 of the family's 1533-position model. The record is from RNAcentral.
UACGUAGGGGCCAAGCGUUGUCCGGAUUUAUUGGGCGUAAAGAGCUCGUAGGCGGUUGGGUAAGUCGGGUGUGAAAACUCCAGGCUCAACUUGGAGAUGCCACCCGAUACUGCUCUGACUUGAGUUCGGUAGGGGAGUGGGGAAUUCCUGGUGUAACGGUGAAAUGCGCAGAUAUCAGGAGGAACACCGGUGGCGAAGGCGCCACUCUGGGCCGAAACUGACGCUGAGGAGCGAAAGCGUGGGGAGCGAACAGG